CGGUCCUAAGGUAGCGAAAUUCCUUGUCGGGUAAGUUCCGACCCGCACGAAAGGCGUAACGAUUUGGGCACUGUCUCAACGAGAGACUCGGUGAAAUCAUAGUACCUGUGAAGAUGCAGGUUACCCGCGACAGGACGGAAAGACCCCGUGGAGCUUUACUGUAGCCUGAUAUUGAAAUUCGGCACAGCUUGUACAGGAUAGGUAGGAGCCUUUGAAACGUGAGCGCUAGCUUACGUGGAGGCGCUGGUGGGAUACUACCCUAGCUGUGUUGGCUUUCUAACCCGCACCACUUAUCGUGGUGGGAGACAGUGUCAGGCGGGCAGUUUGACUGGGGCGGUCGCCUCCUAAAAGGUAACGGAGGCGCUCAAAGGUUCCCUCAGAAUGGUUGGAAAUCAUUCAUAGAGUGUAAAGGCAUAAGGGAGCUUGACUGCGAGACCUACAAGUCGAGCAGGGUCGAAAGACGGACUUAGUGAUCCGGUGGUUCCGCAUGGAAGGGCCAUCGCUCAACGGAUAAAAGCUACCCCGGGGAUAACAGGCUUAUCUCCCCCAAGAGUUCACAUCGACGGGGAGGUUUGGCACCUCGAUGUCGGCUCAUCGCAUCCUGGGGCUGUAGUCGGUCCCAAGGGUUGGGCUGUUCGCCCAUUAAAGCGGUACGCGAGCUGGGUUCAGAACGUCGUGAGACAGUUCGGUCCCUAUCCGUCGUGGGCGUAGGAAAUUUGAGAGGAGCUGUCCUUAGUACGAGAGGACCGGGAUGGACAUACCUCUGGUGUACCAGUUGUCGUGCCAACGGCAUAGCUGGGUAGCUAUGUGUGGACGGGAUAAGUGCUGAAAGCAUCUAAGCAUGAAGCCCCCCUCAAGAUGAGAUUUCCCAACUUCGGUUAUAAGAUCCCUCAAAGAUGAUGAGGUUAAUAGGUUCGAGGUGGAAGCAUGGUGACAUGUGGAGCUGACGAAUACUAAUCGAUCGAAGACUUAAUCAAAA
RNAcentral lists this ribosomal RNA (979 nucleotides) under Staphylococcus aureus. RNAcentral's name for it is "partial 23S ribosomal RNA". It matches the Rfam family "Bacterial large subunit ribosomal RNA", at positions 1946 to 2925 of the family's 2925-position model. The record is from RNAcentral. Lineage: Bacteria; Bacillati; Bacillota; Bacilli; Caryophanales; Staphylococcaceae.